Molecule: long non-coding RNA, 2134 nt
Organism: Lotus japonicus
Lineage: Eukaryota; Viridiplantae; Streptophyta; Magnoliopsida; Fabales; Fabaceae
Exons: 2
Source: RefSeq, a predicted model, not a curated record
UUUAUUCAUCAUUGAUUUGGUUCGGUUCAAUUUUGAGAAUUUUUUCUUUCUCUCUGAAAACAAACCAAACCCAGCGGACAAAGUUUGAUAGGUCCAUAAUCCAUAUCCAUUUCUUCCUUCUCGUUUGCAUUAUUCUGACUGCAUUUCCUUUUAAUUUUUCCAAUCUUCCUUGCAUUUUCAAUUUUGCCCACACUUCGCUCCCAUUUUGUGGCUUCAUUUUCAGGUAAAUCGCGCAACUCUCUCUCCUGUUAUUCUGCUCAACUAAUCUCGCAUUUGCAGAAAUUUGUUUCUGUCUGUUUGAUUCUUAUGAGAAUUUAUUGAAGUAGCAGAUGUGACCUAGAUGCAGAGGUACAUGCUUCUUGAGUAGAGUCAGGACUUACCUGUAGAUCCUGAUGGACUCAGAGGUGAAUUGGGUGGUUGAGCUUUGGGACCUUCAAUUCUGUAAAAUUGGGACAAUUCAAACCUCAUAUUGCAGCUGGGAUACAUAACUCUUCCCCCUCCACUUCCCAAAUAACGCCAGAAAAUUGAUUUUCCAAUCAAAUCUUGCAGACAAUUCGUGCAAUCUACACUGGACAAAUCUGGUGUGCACUGGCCAAGAGUAUAUAGAGAUUGUACAUCACUCAAAUUCUGUGAUUCCACUUUAUAUCUUCCAUCACUGUACCCUGUGGUUUUUGCGAGUCGAUUUAAGUUAUUUGAUAAUUGAUAACCGAACUCGCUAAUUUGGUUGGAAGCUUUAGUGAUGUUCAGCUCAGAAUAUGUAGGACUUGUCUCCAUUUUGGAAAGGAAAUUCUGGUUGGAAUAUCUAAGCAUGCAUUGCCUGUACCAUAUUAUAGCCUCUUUGGAUGAUUGACACUCUGAGGAUAUUUGAUGUGUUGCGUUUAUGAUGCAUUGUCCGCACAGGUCAGUGGGAACAUCGCCCCGGCACAUGAAGAGGCCAUAUACCUUGCCGUUCACAUCACCAUAAUAAUUUUUCAGGCCGUCAUAUCUGGUGGCGUUGGAAGAAAAAUGAGAGAGAAGGGUCUUGGUGUCGUUUUGGAAAGAUAAAUCAGGGGAGGAUUGGUCACUUGUGCAUAAGCUGCGAACAUAGAUAGGGAACAAAAAUUCAUUCCUAAUGUUAUUCUCAAAUCUUGGUUUCUCUGACCUACUAUACGAGCCGCCGCCGCCGCCAUCUUUUGGUGGUAAAAUGGCAUUGCGAUAGAAAGGGAACAAUUCGUACCUAAUGUUACAGCUAGGAAAUAGAACUCUCGCUCCCUGCUUUCUAUCACAACAGAUAGGAAGUUCUCCUAUCGCCCCACUUAGACAUGUUCUGCAAUCACUGGGUGACAAGUCUGGUGUGCACUGUGCUAGAAAGUAAACGGUCUGCAACGGCUGGCCUGGGAUAUCUACUGCCCUUGUGGCAAACUUUGUCUUCCUGCGGCAAGCUUUAUCUGAAGUUGAAUUCAUGGUGUCAAACAGGAAACUCAUACCGGUAUCAGGAUCGGGUUCUGGGAUAUUAGGGAAGCUUGACAAAUAAACUGCCGGCACUGUUUCCAUGGUGGAGAAGAAAGAGCGAUUGGAGUAGCGAACCAUACACUCGUCAUACCAAAUCACAGCUUCUUUGGACAAGGAACACUCUGAGGAUAGUCGCUGUGUUGCAUUUACCACGCAUUGCUGACAAAGUUGAGAGGCGAUGUCACCCCUGCACAUGAACAAGCCAUAGAUGGAGUCAGAGGGGUCUGUUGUACUAGUGACAGUGGUGUUGAAGAAUUGUGUUUUCUCAGUGGCCUUUGACGACAAUGAAGCGAGGAGGCUCCUCCUCAGAUCCAAUUGGAAGCCACUUCUGUUGUUGUCGGAGGUCGUAUCAUUGCUGAAGCAAGUUGAAGAUUGAAAAACAGGAGUGUUUUGUGCCUCAGUAGUUGAAAAACUGAGGAAGCUAAUGAGAAUGAAGAAGAAAAUAAUGUUAUAGGAAGACAUGGAUGUGUUAUUAGACUGUUUUUGAGAGAGCAUUGCAAUUUUAGUUAAAAACUCUCCUUGGCAUCUAUUGUAACGUGAUGCCAAUUAUGCUCAGCAUGAAAUUUAUAUAUACAUUCCUUGGCAUAUAUAAGUUGUAAACUUUCCUCUUGUAUGCAAUCUUAGGUUAUUUCCGAUUUGUUUC